GCAGGAUAUUGUCCGGGUCGGACUCGUUCACAUGGAAACCGACGUCGGCCUCAUCACCAAAAGCUCUGUGACCUCCUCAUCUUUCCAAGUUGACGUCUUCAUCUUCUACUUGUUCAGCUCCUCUUCUUCAUCCUGAGGGGCUGCAUUUGAAGACCGAGCUCCAACGAGUGGAUCCGUCCCCGUCCAACCUGUCCCAGGAUUCAUUGCACUUUAGUGACUCACCAUGUUUCAAAGAGGUAAUGGUGCCGGCAAGCAGCGAGACGUCCAAUGCUUAAGUAUCAGCUUCAACUCAACCCAACAGUACACAUGUUAAACAAGGUUGAUAAAUGAAUACUUGUCUCCAGUGAUGAUGCUGGUGAAGCACUCGUAUCUGCCCUGGUCCUGAAGCUGCAGCCCCGUCAGCCUGAUCGAGGCGUUUCCUCUGGAGAUCUGCUCUGUGAACAGCGAUGUCCGGCCUC
Molecule: long non-coding RNA, 458 nt
Organism: Hippoglossus stenolepis (Pacific halibut)
Lineage: Eukaryota; Metazoa; Chordata; Actinopteri; Pleuronectiformes; Pleuronectidae
Exons: 3
Source: RefSeq, a predicted model, not a curated record